GCACUGUGAGGGUGAUCUUGCUACAAGAUCUGUCACCCCUCAUUGAUCGCCAGGGUUGAUUCAGCAGUCUGCCUUGCUAGGCAGGUGUCCCCGUCCACCCUCACCACUCCAUGUGUUACUCCCCAAGCUGAGGCUGGGUCAAAGAGAAAGACUUUCCCCAAUGGAGAAGGACCACUCUUGGGUCAAAGGUAUACAAAUAGCUGCACUCCCCUGCUCGAACCUCCAAACAAGCUCUCAAGGUCCAUUUGAACAUAGGAGAGUCAAGCUUCCGAGACUCCAGAGACAACCAAAUAAGGCUCUGCAUGUGGCAGUCCGCCUUUAUUU
This 324-nucleotide small nuclear RNA is filed under the name Ursus americanus (American black bear). Its description in RNAcentral is "7SK RNA (ENSUAMG00000001585.1)". It matches the Rfam family "7SK RNA". From Rfam's summary of the family: 7SK was discovered as an abundant small nuclear RNA in the mid-70s but a possible function has only recently been suggested. Two independent studies have found that 7SK RNA binds the CDK9/cyclin T complex (known as elongation factor P-TEFb). Lineage: Eukaryota; Metazoa; Chordata; Mammalia; Carnivora; Ursidae. The record is from Rfam by way of RNAcentral.